CGCGUGGGGAGGACUCUGGGAUGGCUGAGCAUGCUGCACGCAUGCAAUUGAGAAGCAGUCCUCUGCAGCGAGGAGUAAGUGAGAGUCUCCACACACAUAGGGCAGCGAUGAACAGAGGAUGACUUCAAAAGCGGCUGGGAUUCCUGGGGGAAGCCAAUUCCGUGGCCCGGAAGCCCAAAAUUCCCACUCCUGCGUGUUUUUCCUGUCAGGGCUUUACUCACUUUGGUAUCUUCUGAUGAGUUACAAACCUGUCAGUACUUCAGUGCCUCACGAGAGGAGGGAGCCCUCCAGCCCAUCCUCUGGAUCAGAAGAUCACUCACAUCCCUGAAGCACCAAGAAGCACGAAGAGUCACAGCUGAGGCCUGUACUCAUACUCAGGGGCAUGCAGUCUGCGGCUGGGUCUGCAUAGGAUUGAAGGCUGGUUUCCAGCAGAGAUGAUGUCACCCUAUGGGAAUGAGUCCCGAUGUCAACAAGGAUGAGCGAUGGAGGAGGACAAGAGACUGCAGAAUCUGAAUUGAUAGUGUCUCCGAUUCCCACACCUUCUAUGCCCCACCCUGCUAAACUGAGAAGGGACAUGGUGCUUCGGAUUGAUUGCUGCUAAGGUGGUUCUGGUAACUUCGCCUUGCUCUUAUGACAAGGGACUUUGGAACACCGACAGCGAAUAAACUGUGCAAGAAAACACAGCAAAGAAAGGAAUUCUGAAGAUGAGUAAAUACUUCACAUCUUCCUCAUCCUGACACAAUACAAUAAAGCAGAAUGGUUAACGAAGUCUUGCUAUUCUUUCAGCCUUGAUCACUCUGUAUUAUAUAUUAAGGAUAAAGCUGUUCAACCCAAAAGGCCUCCCACGUCGUACUACAGAGAAAUGGCAGACAUUUCUCAUGGAAAGGCAC
This 890-nucleotide long non-coding RNA is filed under the name Fukomys damarensis (Damara mole-rat). RNAcentral's name for it is "lncRNA (ENSFDAG00000029934.1)". Lineage: Eukaryota; Metazoa; Chordata; Mammalia; Rodentia; Bathyergidae. The record is from RNAcentral.